UACGUAGGGAGCAAGCGUUGUCCGGAUUCACUGGGUGUAAAGGGUGCGCAGGCGGGUUGGUAAGUCAGAGGUGAAAUCUCACGGCUCAACCGUGAAACGGCCUUUGAUACUGCCAAUCUUGAGUUCGGGAGAGGUUGAUGGAAUUCCAGGUGUAGCGGUGAAAUGCGUAGAUAUCUGGAAGAACACCAGUGGCGAAGGCGGUCAACUGGCCCGUAACUGACGCUCAGGCACGAAAGCGUGGGUAGCGAACAGG
RNAcentral lists this ribosomal RNA (253 nucleotides) under uncultured bacterium. RNAcentral describes it as "partial 16S ribosomal RNA". It matches the Rfam family "Bacterial small subunit ribosomal RNA", at positions 524 to 776 of the family's 1533-position model. The record is from RNAcentral.